AUUUUUCUCCUUCAAUUUGUUAUAGUUUAUGAAGAUUUCUUUCUUUUCCUUAAUUAGUGCCUCAUUCUUUAUUUUUAGAUUUUUAUUUUUCAUACUUAUCUUCUUAAAAUCUUUUAUUAAAUCAUAGAAUGCAUCUUGAAGUUCAUCGAAUAUAAAUUCUAGAGAAGGUUUUGAAUUUACCUUAUCCUCUUGUGCCAUAAAACACAAGUUAGCUUCAUCUUAGGUCUCCUCAUCUGAGCUCGACUCGUCGCUGUCGUUCCAUGUUGUGACCAUUGCCUUCUUCUUAUUUUUUUUUGAAGGUCUUCUUCAAGGUUGGAUAGUUAGCC
This 326-nucleotide long non-coding RNA is filed under the name Elaeis guineensis (African oil palm). RNAcentral's name for it is "long non-coding RNA (EGUI_LNC043815)". The record is from RNAcentral. Lineage: Eukaryota; Viridiplantae; Streptophyta; Magnoliopsida; Arecales; Arecaceae.